RNAcentral lists this ribosomal RNA (465 nucleotides) under uncultured Klebsiella sp. Its description in RNAcentral is "bacterial SSU rRNA". It matches the Rfam family "Bacterial small subunit ribosomal RNA", at positions 338 to 795 of the family's 1533-position model. Lineage: Bacteria; Pseudomonadati; Pseudomonadota; Gammaproteobacteria; Enterobacterales; Enterobacteriaceae. The record is from RNAcentral.
CCUACGGGAGGCUGCAGUGGGGCAUAUUGCACAAUGGGCGCAAGCCUGAUGCAGCCAUGCCGCGUGUGUGAAGAAGGCCUUCGGGUUGUAAAGCACUUUCAGCGGGGAGGAAGGCGGUGAGGUUAAUAACCUCAUCGAUUGACGUUACCCGCAGAAGAAGCACCGGCUAACUCCGUGCCAGCAGCCGCGGUAAUACGGAGGGUGCAAGCGUUAAUCGGAAUUACUGGGCGGAAAGCGCACGCAGGCGGUCUGUCAAGUCGGAUGUGAAAUCCCCGGGCUCAACCUGGGAACUGCAUUCGAAACUGGCAGGCUAGAGUCUUGUAGAGGGGGGUAGAAUUCCAGGUGUAGCGGUGAAAUGCGUAGAGAUCUGGAGGAAUACCGGUGGCGAAGGCGGCCCCCUGGACAAAGACUGACGCUCAGGUACGAAAGCGUGGGGAGCAAACAGGAUUAGAUACCCUUGUAGUC